AAUCAAGCGCAGAAGGGCAUUCAGUGGAUGCCUUGGCAUUGAGAGGCGAAGAAGGACGUAGUACGCUGCGAAAAGCUGUGGGGAGACGCGAACAGUCUAUGAUCCACAGAUAUCCGAAUGGGGAAACCCACCGUAAGUACGGUAUCUUAAACUGAAUACAUAGGUUUGAGAGGCGAACCUGGGGAACUGAAACAUCUAAGUACCCAGAGGAAAGGACAUCAAACGAGACUCCGUUAGUAGUGGUGAGCGAACGCGGACCAGGCCAGUAGUU
RNAcentral lists this ribosomal RNA (271 nucleotides) under Holosporales bacterium. Its description in RNAcentral is "partial 23S ribosomal RNA". It matches the Rfam family "Bacterial large subunit ribosomal RNA", at positions 1 to 277 of the family's 2925-position model. The record is from RNAcentral. Lineage: Bacteria; Pseudomonadati; Pseudomonadota; Alphaproteobacteria; Holosporales.